This 1887-nucleotide long non-coding RNA is filed under the name Ceratitis capitata (Mediterranean fruit fly). RNAcentral's name for it is "uncharacterized LOC110119072". The record is from RNAcentral. Lineage: Eukaryota; Metazoa; Arthropoda; Insecta; Diptera; Tephritidae.
UGAGAUUUCAAUACAUUUCUAAAUUUUCGUGUACAAAAAAAUUUUCCGUCAAAAUAAUCUGCAGCCAAUGUCUCGAUAAUUUCAACUUAUGGUUUUACCAACUUAGCAACCUCUGAGGAGAGGGCUCCUGCCGACCCAAGCAUGGCCUUGAGCGAAACGGAUUGCCUAAACUCUUGGAGCAAUCAAAGACACCACGAGUGGACUAGGGGCAGAUGGAGAACGAUCAGAGGCUGAGUUCUCCCAACGAAUGGGAGGAUAUUGAUGCAAUUAUCCAUGAAUCCGAAGCAAUGAUAUCAACUACACCUCAGGAUGGUGCAGAUAUUCAAAUUAAUUUGCAUUCCUCCAAAGCAUCAUCCAUUGAUCUCAUUCUGCGCUUCUGCGCUUCUAGGUUUACCUUUUUGUAUCUUUUGAUCCCACCAUAAGAACGCAAUCAAUGGCUGCGUACAGAAAUAAGAAUAAUAUUAACUGCACAAUCUCUAGGACAGUUGUGGCAGUAUCCUCAGCCCAAAGUUCCGCUUAUCAUCAAGAAGCGAUGGCAGCUAGCACAAGAUCUGUUUUUUAGUGGGGUUAGAUUUGUUGUCGAAAAGUGAUGAUGCAGUAGAUGUUUCCAAAGUCUGUAAAAAAACUUUUGUCCAUUCCAAUAGGAAAGAAAAAAUCCAAAUAGUGGAAUAAUGAAAUCUCUGAGCUAAAACAAAGUAUCCAAAAAAAAGAUUGCCACAAAACUUUCAAAAUGUUUGUAAGGAAAAAAAGAGAAUCUUCGAAACUCCUCUGAUAUAACAUUGAUGUAAGAUUGAAAAGAAACAGACCAAGUAAAGUGCUCUUCAGGAGAACUAUAAACACCCACUUUCUGGGAUCCUCCACAUGCUACAACGAAUUGCUUUGGGAUAACGAGUAUAUUUAAAUUCUGAUGUCAGUGGCAUCGUAUGCAGCUAAAGAGUAGUGUGGUACAGAUGACGGAUGACAUCAUAGCUAUUCUAUUAAAAUCUCAAAACUCUGACUGCAAGGAGGCUAACGCAAUAUUUACCAAAAAAGGAGGCAGAGCCAACAACCCAAAAUUUUUGAAAGGCUUCUCGACAGCUGUAUGCGUGAUUUUAGAAGACUAACAUGACUUCCAUAUGAAUGUUAGAGACGAAUAUGAACAACAGCAUAUAAGCGUAGAUAGUGAUCCGAGUCGUUGUUAGGUCCUCGAAACGUAUGUAUGCUCAUCUGAAGAAGUAUCGUCUGUCUAUUAUGACCGAUUUGGUUGAGAGUUUUUCGUUCUGGGGGCAGCCAAGUAGCUUGAUGAAUUUACUUGUCCUGUAAUCUACUGCUACAGACAACAAUAUUUCAGGCUCGGCGAAUCAAUUUGGGGAUGUUUAGUCAUGGGUGCUGAAUUUUCCUACUGUUAUGCCAAUACCUUUUUUGCUCGCCAAGCACAAUUUCGACCAGAUAUUUAUUCAGCGGAGAAAAUUUAAUAUGAAUUCACAUUUUCUGUCUGCAAUACAAUUGCGGAGCUCGUUAACAAUAGGGUGUCCCACGUCCGAUGUUUAUGUUAUUUUUCGUUAGAGUUAAGAUUUCAGAUGAUUUCACAUUCUCGCUUUAGAUCGCCUAAAAACGGAUGCUUGUUGACUACCCAGAAAACAUUCGGCUUCUUGCGGCUGAUUGAAGCAUCAUUAUUGCCCACAAUUUUUCUCAGUCGCUUGGCUUCAUGGGCGCCAAUUGAUUAUUAUGAAUAAUAAUUUGAAAUAAACUUGUAUGAGUAACAUUUUCUGAAAAAUUAAAAAACUUGAAGAUUUGAUAUUAAGAAAACGUGUCAGAACCAUGUGACUAUAUUUAGACUCUCCUGGACCCUCCCUUCCUCAUGUAGCCUAACGCAUCUUUCCCAUGUACGGGGCAGUUUAUUUAUUA